RNAcentral lists this small nucleolar RNA (87 nucleotides) under Cephalotus follicularis. RNAcentral describes it as "Small nucleolar RNA R11/Z151". It matches the Rfam family "Small nucleolar RNA R11/Z151". Rfam says of the family: snoR11/Z151 is a member of the C/D class of snoRNA which contain the C (UGAUGA) and D (CUGA) box motifs. Most of the members of the box C/D family function in directing site-specific 2'-O-methylation of substrate RNAs. Lineage: Eukaryota; Viridiplantae; Streptophyta; Magnoliopsida; Oxalidales; Cephalotaceae. The record is from Rfam by way of RNAcentral.
GGGCUGAUGAUGAUAAUACUAUAAUCUUAGCGGAUUUCAGUGAGACCAAUUCGUCUAUGAACUGAUUUGUUACACACACUGAAGCCU